Long non-coding RNA from Eptatretus burgeri (inshore hagfish), 3220 nucleotides. The record is from Ensembl. NCBI's taxonomy places the organism in Eukaryota, Metazoa, Chordata, Myxini, Myxiniformes, Myxinidae.
CAGCAAAGCAAUCGGCAUGCUUUACCUGCCAACUCUAAAUGCCUUGCUAUUCCUUCAAAAGGACCAUGGCCUGGGGGGCGUUUCGUUUGCAAAUGACUUGCUUUUGCUGCUAUAUUGCCAACGGGAUGCCCCAGGGACAUACGUGUUCCUUUUCAAUUAAUAUGCUUCCAGGCAAUGUGUAACCGGAACAUGCCCAACAGGGCCGAAAUUUUUUUUUACCCCCCCAAAAACGCUUAUUUCUCAGAAGUCAGAAUCGACGUCUAUUCCCAUUCACCACUGAAUUAUUUUCAAUUCCAUAGUUGGAAUCUAUGCCCACCACGAUGAAGCACUCAAGCAAGCACUCCAACGAGACGGUUGAUGAGGAAUGGUUGGCUUGGCAAGUGAUGAGCAAUCGGUUAUAACAAACCUGGUUUUGUAGUUAUGAAAGACUCACACGCACAUGCACAUCGCACACACACUUAUUGUAUCGUAAUAUAAUGGGUGUAAGCCUGGAACUUCUAACACACUUUUCUCUGAACAUAUUCUGUUCAUACUUCCGAAAUCUUCACAUUAUGUGUUCCAUGUAUUUAGGCAGGUGAUAGUGGAUUCAAAAAAUCGAAUAGAGAUGGAAUAGCUAUAAAUAAGGCCUUUGUAGAGUUCGUUUUGCGUCCGCUGUGAUUUCUGGCGACCGUAGUGACAUCUCUACCCCACUGGCGAAACGACAGUUUUUGCAUCCAAAAUUCAUCUUCACCCUAAUACCUUUUGUAAAUAUAUAAAAGCAAACGUAUAAAAAAGUAAAAUAUGAAACUAUAGACACAACUUUUCUUUUGUCCCCAUAGUGACAUGCUGAGACAGAGAUGUCUGAAAAAUGCCGCCACCCAAACAACGCAGAGCAUCGAUGGUUGGGGUGUCCAAUCGUGCACGACGAGAUAGGAAACGGAGGCCUCUAGCAUCGCAAAGUGCCACCCAGUUGCCCGCUCUUGAUACAGCAAAUGGGAUGUCUGACCUGCUGGCGGGUGUGAGCCAGUUUCCGGUGAGCGAGACGACAGUGACAAACGACCUGGAGGAUCAGAGCUUGCCUCAAUACUGGCCCGACAUGGAAAUCAACCACGAUGGGAUGUACCACGUCACCGACGAGGGUGACGGAUCUGGUGCGUGGCUGCCGAGCCCGCAAGGCCUUGCGGACGAACCGACCCACAGUGACGUAUCUACGAUCACCAUGGUGCCCGAACCCAAGGUUGAAGUGAAACCACACCAGCCAUGUUUCGAGGCACCGACCAUUUUGACAACUGAAAAAAUCCUGUAUGAAAUUCAGAACGAUGAGAAGAUAGCCAGCCUGUUGGGAAAGUACCCCAAAUACAACCGUGUCCUGGUGUACUACUACCUGUACAAGGGCAUGCGAACGCAGGAGAAGGACAACCCCCUGAUAGCGGAGGCCGCUGAGAAGGCCGGUGUCACGUACCAGCACGCUUACAACUUCAUUGGAAACUUCCGCCGUUCGAUCGGUGCUUCCCGGCACCGCGGACAGCGGAUUUGGACGCCGUGGACCAAAAAUUCUCCAGGCAAAGCCGCAGCUUCUCCAGCCGGCUUACCGAGCAGCUUACCUGGUGUUCUGCAACCUGAGGAGAACCAUGAUGGUUUAGGCUUUUCCAUGGAGGAAAACCAUACCGGUCUUCUGGAGCGAAUGGAAGGGGAAAGCCCGCCAUCUGGUGGGGAGGCCUCCAUAGUUGAUCCUUGCAUGACGAGGAUGGAUGGCAUGAACUCGGGAACAAACUUUUUGAAUGAGUUGAAGCAAGAUCCAGAGAUCGCAAAACAGCUGGAGCGAUUCCCCAAGUACAAUGGUGUGCUGGUUUACUACUAUCUGUACAAGGGCAUGCGGACGCAGGAGAAGGAUAACUCCUUGAUAGCAGAGGCCUCUGAGAAGGCUGGCGUCACGUAUCAGCACGCUUACUACUUUAUCGGAAACUUCCGCCGAGCAACCGGCGAAUCCCGUACGCGAACGCGAAGAGACGCCGGUCCAUGGGACCCUCCUCAUUUCCCUUACCCCGGGCCUCUGCAGCAACACCUCACGCAGUAUGGGCAGUCGGGCUCGCCGAGUUUAGAGUCAGCAUCAACUGAUGGCCAUGACGCUGAUGGCUCUUCAGAGCUGACGGAGGGUACAUUGGGCACGUCAACUGGUUACCGGGACGGCUGUGAGGAGCGUGGUGAGGGUGAUGGACUAGUCGGCCCGCCGUCUGACGGAGCCAUGUGGGGAGCUUGUACAACAUCACCUUUUCGUGGCUGUGGCCAAGAGAUGGAGCUGGUGACGGAGACUGAUCGGAUUCUUGAGAAACUCAAAGCAAAUAAAGACAUUGCAAGGAGGCUGGAGCGAUUCCCCAAAUAUAACCGUGUGCUAGCUUACUAUUACCUGUACAAGGGUAUGCGGACACAGGAAAAGGAUAACCCACUGAUAGCAGAGGCUGCAGAGAAGGCUGGUGUCACGUACCAGCACGCUUACAACUUCAUUGGGAAUUUCCGGAGAGCGACGGGAGGUUCCAAGGUGCGUGGAGCACGGCUUGGCAUGACCUGUGUGUCCGGCGUGACUGGCUCUGUGGACAAGGGUGUGGAGCAGCUGCACGGAUGCAGGAAACGCAGAAAAGGUGGCACGAUGUUGGGCUGGAGCCCCCAAGCCUCACCUGCACAGGCAUUGGGAACUGUCGGUUAUCCGGGUGGUGACAGAACGGGCGAUGACUCUGCAGAUUCAUUUGGCAUAAUCCGACAAAAUCUGCAGCGGAUCCAGCAAUUGAUGGAGGAUAACCAACGUUAUGGCUGUGAGGGUCUCGCCAUGGCGUUCUGUUUCCAACCGAGCACGGCUCACACCCAGGAGCCUCUUUUGUGGGUGCUCGGCUCACCAGAGGGGAAGAGCUUGCUUGCAGAACAUCGCAUCGGCGACUAUGUCGCCCUGCUAUGGAGAGCCAAGCGUAUCAGAGAUGUUGAAAUCAAGAAGAUGGAGUCGAAUGCUGACAAUUCCAAGGUGCUGGAUGAACUCGGCCAAUGGGACGAAGCCGAGAAGGACAGCACAGCCCUUCCACAAAGUACAGACUGUGGCCACGAGGUUCCCAAUGCAUCCACCUCUGAGCCUGGGCCCAGUCCCCCGAACCAACCUCUGAGAACCAACCGUAGGCUCCCGUCUACAAGCUCUGGUGGAGGGUGGAAUGCGAGGCCACAUUGUCACAUGGAGCAAGGACAUGGACAUCAAUGA